Molecule: ribosomal RNA, 253 nt
Filed under: uncultured bacterium
Lineage: Bacteria
Description: partial 16S ribosomal RNA
Rfam family: Bacterial small subunit ribosomal RNA
Source: RNAcentral
UACGGAGGGUGCAAGCGUUAUCCGGAUUCACUGGGUUUAAAGGGAGCGUAGGCGGGCAGGUAAGUCAGUGGUGAAAUCUUCGAGCUUAACUCGGAAACUGCCAUUGAUACUAUCUAUCUUGAAUAUUGUGGAGGUAAGCGGAAUAUAUCAUGUAGCGGUGAAAUGCUUAGAGAUGACAUAGAACACCUAUUGCGAAGGCAGCUUACUACGCAUAUAUUGACGCUGAGGCUCGAAAGCGUGGGGAGCAAACAGG